Molecule: non-coding RNA, 79 nt
Filed under: Spodoptera frugiperda (fall armyworm)
Lineage: Eukaryota; Metazoa; Arthropoda; Insecta; Lepidoptera; Noctuidae
Source: RNAcentral
CUUUAUUCAAAUUUUGAGGAUACUGAAGAUGAGGAGAGGUGAGUUUUACGACGUGUUUUAUUCGACAAUAGUGAUUGAA